RNAcentral lists this long non-coding RNA (276 nucleotides) under Lathyrus oleraceus (garden pea). Its description in RNAcentral is "Pisum sativum (pea) long non-coding RNA (PSAT_LNC004572)". The record is from RNAcentral. Lineage: Eukaryota; Viridiplantae; Streptophyta; Magnoliopsida; Fabales; Fabaceae.
AAAAAGCUCAUGAAGAAUCAUCGAAUCUCAUCAUCACCAUUUUCAACUCAUCAUCUUCACCAUAUCCAUGUGUUUGAGGUGAGUUAUAGUUAGAACUUGCAUGGAAUAUAAACUAGGAUUUAUGAUGAAAGCAAAUGAUAGUUGGUAAUGAUCCAUGAUAUGUGUUCUAUCUUAGUCAUGAAAGCUUAAUGAAUGAAUGAUCCACCCAUGUUUUCUAUGAUUGUGGUGUUCUACCUAUGGUUGAAUGUUGUUGUUGUUAUCAUGGUUAUAUGUCUC